UUCAUAAUCAAUUUCAUUAUCAUAGGAAUCAACAAAACCUACUUCUUUCUUUUUCCGAAACUUAGAAUUUCUAGCUUUUUCAGCUUUUAACCUUUCGAUUUGUCUCACCCUGUCAGCCAACUGUGACAUGUCUCGAAGGUAUUGGGUAUCCAAUUUCUUUCGAAUCGAAUAAUCUAACCCACCAGCAGCCAUUUCCACUAGCUCGUGUUCAGGUACUUGAGUAAAGCACCUGGACUUCAGCAAACGAAACCUAUUUAAAUAGUCAUCAAUUGACUCUUGG
This 280-nucleotide long non-coding RNA is filed under the name Trifolium pratense (red clover). RNAcentral describes it as "long non-coding RNA (TPRA_LNC010969)". The record is from RNAcentral. Lineage: Eukaryota; Viridiplantae; Streptophyta; Magnoliopsida; Fabales; Fabaceae.